Molecule: ribosomal RNA, 1454 nt
Filed under: uncultured organism
Description: 16S ribosomal RNA
Rfam family: Bacterial small subunit ribosomal RNA
Source: RNAcentral
GAUGAACGCUAGCUACAGGCUUAACACAUGCAAGUCGAGGGGCAGCAUUUUAGUUUGCUUGCAAACUAAAGAUGGCGACCGGCGCACGGGUGAGUAACACGUAUCCAACCUGCCGAUAACUCGGGGAUAGCCUUUCGAAAGAAAGAUUAAUAUCCGAUAGUAUAUUAAAACCGCAUGGUUUUACUAUUAAAGAAUUUCGGUUAUCGAUGGGGAUGCGUUCCAUUAGUUUGUUGGCGGGGUAACGGCCCACCAAGACAACGAUGGAUAGGGGUUCUGAGAGGAAGGUCCCCCACAUUGGAACUGAGACACGGUCCAAACUCCUACGGGAGGCAGCAGUGAGGAAUAUUGGUCAAUGGACGAGAGUCUGAACCAGCCAAGUAGCGUGAAGGAUGACUGCCCUAUGGGUUGUAAACUUCUUUUAUAUGGGAAUAAAGUAUUCCACGUGUGGGAUUUUGUAUGUACCAUAUGAAUAAGGAUCGGCUAACUCCGUGCCAGCAGCCGCGGUAAUACGGAGGAUCCGAGCGUUAUCCGGAUUUAUUGGGUUUAAAGGGAGCGUAGGUGGAUUGUUAAGUCAGUUGUGAAAGUUUGCGGCUCAACCGUAAAAUUGCAGUUGAAACUGGCAGUCUUGAGUACAGUAGAGGUGGGCGGAAUUCGUGGUGUAGCGGUGAAAUGCUUAGAUAUCACGAAGAACUCCGAUUGCGAAGGCAGCUCACUAGACUGCAACUGACACUGAUGCUCGAAAGUGUGGGUAUCAAACAGGAUUAGAUACCCUGGUAGUCCACACAGUAAACGAUGAAUACUCGCUGUUUGCGAUAUACAGUAAGCGGCCAAGCGAAAGCAUUAAGUAUUCCACCUGGGGAGUACGCCGGCAACGGUGAAACUCAAAGGAAUUGACGGGGGCCCGCACAAGCGGAGGAACAUGUGGUUUAAUUCGAUGAUACGCGAGGAACCUUACCCGGGCUUAAAUUGCAUUUGAAUAAUCUGGAAACAGGUUAGCCGCAAGGCAAAUGUGAAGGUGCUGCAUGGUUGUCGUCAGCUCGUGCCGUGAGGUGUCGGCUUAAGUGCCAUAACGAGCGCAACCCUUAUCUUUAGUUACUAACAGGUCAUGCUGAGGACUCUAGAGAGACUGCCGUCGUAAGAUGUGAGGAAGGUGGGGAUGACGUCAAAUCAGCACGGUCCUUACGUCCGGGGCUACACACGUGUUACAAUGGGGGGUACAGAAGGCAGCUACCUGGCGACAGGAUGCUAAUCCCAAAAACCUCUCUCAGUUCGGAUCGAAGUCUGCAACCCGACUUCGUGAAGCUGGAUUCGCUAGUAAUCGCGCAUCAGCCAUGGCGCGGUGAAUACGUUCCCGGGCCUUGUACACACCGCCCGUCAAGCCAUGAAAGCCGGGGGUACCUGAAGUACGUAACCGCAAGGAGCGUCCUAGGGUAAAACUGGUAAUUGGGGCUAAG